GGAUCUUGAACUUUUAGCUCCUCUUCAACUUGCCCCAGUUGAGAGUGUUUAAAUAUCAACCUAUUUCCAGGGACAUGGAAAAUAUUAAGGAAUGCAUUCUCAGACUUGUCCUGGUGUGGGCUUCAUGGCAAUGGAUUGAGAUCUGAGGGUCCUGGCUUCGUCUUGAAGGCAGACGUCUCACACAUCUACAAUUCACAGAGCUUAGACUAGCCUACAUACGUAACAAUGUUAAACUGAGUGCAUGUCUUCAUAUAUGAAGAAGGAAUCCACAAAACUAUGUGCUGCGAUAUGAAGAGAAAUGCCAUUGUUCUUACUGGAUGAUUUCCUAUCAGAGCCCAUCAGGGGGUCCAGGCAUUUACAGUGAAGCCCAGUAAUUGUACUAUCUUGCUUGGUGGGUCCUGCCCCUCAACCUUCUUCUGCUCUACUCUCCAGCUCAAGGAAUGGCAUCAUUGUUUCCUAACUGACCAGGUUCCAUUUUGUGAGCAAGCUGGCUCUCCAGCCACAAUCUUCCUGCCUCACAACUCCAGGUUCGGAGUAGCUGGCAGAGUACUGAAACCGACUCCGAGUAGACCAAGCUUCAUCCGUGCGUUCACCUCUGAAACAAAUACAUGACUGUUGAGUGGGUGCUCCCCUCACUGAAUGCUCGGUCAGAUGCUCACUGUUGGAUUCCAGCAAAGAGAAUCACUAAGAUCACGUAAAGUGUAGUGUCUCCAAAGAAACUAGGGAAUGUUGCUGGAAGAAGAGGCAGAAAAUGCUGAGAAAAAUGUGCUUAUGGUAGUGUCUGUUUAGGCAUUUAUGGGAUGCCAACUUUACUCAAGAUGUUUUUGGAACUCUUGUCUUUGUAUGGAAAGCAUAUGAAUCACUCCACCAAAAAUAGUAUUAUUAUUCUAUAUUCCUAGUACAUCUUCUACUGAGCAAGGAUUUAUGAAAUUUAAUUAGCCAUCUCACUUGUUAGCCCCACUGUGACUGACUUUUAACUAGUUCCCAAACAGAAAUAAUCUAUGCAGGAAGAGUUUGCUCAUGUUGAGAGUAUUCACAAGAGCAUAGCUGAUAUUCUCAUGUCAAUUCCAGAAGCUUAAGUCUGAAGAUAUUCUGGGAAAAUAUCAGCACCUUUGGCAAAAAUGUGUAAUAUUUCAUGUUGACUGCCCUGAAAGAGUCUACCCUAAUUUGGAGACAGACAGACAGAUAGAUAGAUAGCCUUGUCUAUUUGGGUACAAAAUAUCCCUCUAGAGCAGUAUGGUUACAAGUAUAGGCUUUGGAGCUUGAUUACCUGGGCUUGAAUCCCAGGUUAGCUACUGUGUGAUACUCUCUACCUCAAAAUUUUCAUGUAAAGUAAUAAAAAUAAUAAUUAUAAUA
RNAcentral lists this long non-coding RNA (1356 nucleotides) under Capra hircus (goat). Its description in RNAcentral is "lncRNA (ENSCHIG00000000643.1)". Lineage: Eukaryota; Metazoa; Chordata; Mammalia; Artiodactyla; Bovidae. The record is from RNAcentral.